UACAGGAUCAUGGCAGAGACGCAGGGAAGAGAGACAGGGGGAAGCAAUGGAAGGAAACAUAUUCAGAGAGGGGCGGAGACAGUGCCUCAGAGCGAGACUAAGGACAGUGAGGGCCUUGACAGAAUUACAAGAAAAGAGAUGGAAAACUAGAAAGAGUAGGAGGAGCAUUGCUCAGAGAGAGGAGGGUAUGGAUGGGGACACAGAUGAGUGGGGAGAUCAGAGACCUGAAGAUAGACAGAGAGACCCAGAGUGAGGGAGAAAGGGGCUGACAGAGAGGUGGCCAGGGACCUAGAGAGAGACAGUGAUCCAGAGGUAGGACAGGUUGGAGUAGAGACUGACAGGGAGAAACAGAUCCAGGGUGGUGUGACAGAGACAGAGACCUAGAGAGAAAGAUAAGGAAAGACUAGAGAGAGGGAGGGACAGAUAUCCAGACUGGGGCUUAGAGCUGGGAAUAGAAACCCAGAGAGAGAAAGUAUUCUCUCUCCAGAGAGGGCACCUAGACCCUGGGGUGGGGGUGGGGUGAAUACUUUCAGCCACGAGUCAGACAUAGAAAGUACCCGGCACCAGAUGUGUGCCACAGUGCUUCCUCAGCCUGCUUCUCGUCCACCCUCAGACUAUGAUGAGCGGAGCCACCUGCAUGAUGCAUUUACACAGAUGACCCUCUCCCUCCAGGAGGUGGCUGCAGCUCAUGGGUCCUUUAAGGCUGCGUUCCCUAGUGCUGCAGCAAAAAUGAAGAGGACCAUUCAUCACCUUAAAAAAGUCCAGGACUGCAUCCUCCCUUGUGGCGUCCAGGAGGCCACUAGGCGUUUCCACUGCUGGGGCUGCUUCUCCACAGUCUGUGACCUCCCUCUAGACUGUCCAGGUGAGGGGGCGGCGCCGGGAUGCCAGGGAAAGGGCGAGGCUUGUGCAGGCCUACCAGGAUCACCUUGCCUCUCUCCAGUUCAGGACGUGACGGUGAAGCGAGGGGAUCAGGCUUUGUUUUCUUGUAUCGUGGGCUUCCAAUUGCCAGAAUCGGAGCUCACUUACUCCUGGAAAUUCGCGGCAGGAGGUCUCCGGACUCAGGACGUGUCCUACUUCCGUGAUGUGCCAGGCGCCCACGGGUACCUGGCGCGAAUCCGGCCAGUGCAACCCACGCACCGGGGGACCUUCUCCUGCGUGAUCCUGCACGACCAGCGCCCCCUGGCGCGGCUCUACUUCUAUCUGAACGUGACUGGCCCUCCUCCUCCUGGGGAGACUGAGCUCCAGGUCACGUUCCGGGAAGUGAUGAAUUGGACACCGCGGGAGGCGGAAACAAUCGAGCCCUGGAGGCCCAGCCUAGGCGAACUGCUUGCCAGGCCCUCGGCUCUGACGCUUGGCAACCUGUUCCUGAUCGCGGCUACCGCUGCAUUCGUGUCUGCUAGUGUCACUGUGCUAGUGUGGAGCAAUGUGACCAGCUUUCUCAAGCUCCUGAAUCCAUUCUUUCCCUAUCAUGAUGGACUGCACCCUCAAACUAGACAAGAUCUCCUGUAGCCCAGCCUGUCCUACAAGUAGCCAAGGAUGACUUGAACUUCUGAUCCUACUGUCUCAACGUCUGGAGUGCUGGGAUGACAGGCACGCAGCCCAGUUCGUGCAGUGCUGGAGGUAGAGCAAUGCUAGGCACCUGUGCUGCCCACUGAGCUAUAUUUCCAGUCCCAGACAGGGUUGCAUGAAGCCUGGGCUGGUUUUAGCUUCACUACAUGGCUGAGAAUGACACUGAAUUUCUGAUCCUUCUUCCUCUGCCUUCUGAGUGAUAACAUGACAGAGGUAGGCUACCACAUUCAGUUUAUUUGGUGCAGGGGAUUGAACCUAGGCUUUGUGUGUGCUGAGCAAGCACUCUACCAGCUGAGCUACAUCCCAAGUCCCUAAAACAAUCACGUUUCAAAAUAUUUGUUUGUUUGUUUGUUUAGUUAUUUUUUAUUUGUGCGUAUGUGCAUGCACACAUGCCAUGGUGCGUGUGUGUGGCAGUCAGGGCAACUUUUAGGAGUUAAUUCUCUCCUUCCACCCUGUUGGGGAGCAAACUCAGGUAAUCAAGCUUAGCAGCAAGCACCUUUGCUCUUUGAGCCAGGUUGCCAGCCCCAAAGAACCAUAUUUUUAAAUGUACAGUAGUGGUCAGUACACAGAUUUCACUUCUACUUGCAAACCAAUAUCUUUUCACAUUUGCAAAUUGUUUUAAGCUGAAAGUGAAACAAAAAUAUUUUGUGGAGCAUGAAAGUUACUUACAGUUCAAACCCCAGUGUUCUUCACAUUGCACCCAUUAUCUAUGCUGAGUCUGCUGUAGCAUACCAAGACUGAGUAGUUCUGGCAGAGAACGCAAUGUCUUCUAGUCCUCAAGUGUUUACUGUUUGGUGUCUGGUAGAAAAGUUUACAGUCUUCUCACACAGUGGGUCAAAGCAAAUAAAUUACCAAAAUUAAUUUCAUUUAAAAAUUACACUUAUUUGUUUAUUUUGUGUGUGGGCAUAUGCAUGUCACAGAGCAUUUGCCCCAGUGUAUGUGUGUGUGUGUGUGUGUGUGUGUGUGUGUGUGUGUGUGUGUGUGUGUGUGUGUGUGUGUGUGUGUGUAGGUUGGGGGAUAGUUAUGGGACUAGGUUCUUUCUUCCCAGUAUUUGGGUCUCAGAGACCAAACUCAGAUUAUUAGGCUUAGUGCAAGCACCUUUACCCCCAGAGCCAUCUUGUAGGACCCACUUUACUUUUAAAAGAGGAUUUAAAAAUUAUGUGGUAAUUCACGUUAUGUUUCUGAACAGUAGAGGUGAGUUAGGGAUUUGGGGGAUUUUAAAAGAACAUGCAGGGUUUCCCUGUGUUGCCCAGACUGGCCUCAAAUUCCUAGACUCAAGCAUCCUCCAGUCUCAGACUCCAAAGUAUUUGGGACCUCGAGUACAUGGUACCAAAUUUGAGAAAGAACUUUUAAGUACUCAGUAACAAUUAUUCUUUCUUUCAGACCCCUUCAUUACUGUCUUUUUGCCUCAAAUACAGCUCUGCCUGGGCUCCUGGGGUGGCUCAGAUUAUGAGGAAGUUAUGGACACCUCCACCUACAGCUGUACUCGCAACAUUAAGAACCACACAGACUGAAAACACCCAUGUUCCACAAGACGACCUCAUAUACCCUGUCUCAGGCUGAGCAUGGCGUCCUGUGACCUCCCACUGAUGGUCAUGCAGGGGACCUGAGGACACAAGCCCUCAGUGUCAGGAAGAAACAAUAUCAAGAUGAUAAAAAAUAUGCCAAUAGCCACACAGACAGCCACCAAGGGACUGGGAUAAAGGAACAGAAGUAGAAGGUUUCAGAAGAAAUAGUCAACAGUUAAAAUCAGUGGUUCUCAACCUUCCUAAUGCUGCCAUCCUUUAAUUCAGUUCCUCAUGUUGUGGUGACUCCCAAACAUAAAAUUAUUUUAGUUGCUACUUUAUAACUUAGUUUGCUACUGUUAUGAAUAGUAAUGUAAAUAUCUGAUAGGCAGGAUGUAUCUUCAUUGUUACAAAUUGAUAAAAGUGGUCAUGACCCACAAGUUGAGAACCGCUGGUUCAAAUAGACCCCAGCCAUAUGAAAUUGCUCUUUUUACAGGUCAAGAGAGGUUGAAUAUUGGUGAAUGCAUGUAGUUCAGCUAAGUAGAUUCUGAACCCAUAAAAGUGAAACCGAAAUGCAUACAUCAUUUACAUGCAAAGUCUUCUUUGGGAAUACCAACACACAUUUAUAGAAUCACAGACAUGUAUGGAUGACAAACCAUAUAGCAAUGAACAUAGAGAAGGAAACUCACUCCACCUUACAAGCUCACUGAACACAUACAGUUGCUGUCACAAGUAGAUACACACGUACACGAACUCCUUCUCAAUAGUCCCCAAUACACAUGGUCUCACAUAUGGUAGUAAUUACCCUUUAUGGCAGCAGAAAAUACACACACACACACACACACACACACACACACACACACACACACACACGCACACACGCACACACGCACACACGUACAUACAUGUCUCAUGGCUGUGGGUCCUGCUGGAUUCUCUCCUCUCCGGCUUGCUCUGCAAUCCGUGUGUGUCUGGAGCUAGCUGGAGGGGGGCCAUUUGAAGACCAGCAAAUGCGGGGGUGGAGGAGAGCUGACGUCAGAGAACUAGCCUGUCCAGGGGCUCUGAGGUCACACAAUCCCAUGACUCCACCCUCUUCGAUUCCCGACAUUGCCCCCAUCCCCCUCGCCAGAUAGGACCUCCCUUCACAGCCCCUCAAGCUGGUCCUUCACUCCCCCUUUUCUUCCAGCCCUUCCUCUCUCUUUUCUCUUUCUCCCCUUUUCUCUUGCGUUAAGUUCACUUUACCUUUCAUUUGUUCCGUCUGUAUAUUUCUUUCCAACUUUCCCCCAUUUCUGUCUUUCGCAUCUCCCUCAGCUGCUUCUCUUGUGUUUUGUCUGUAUUUCUGUCUCCAUCUCGCCCCAUUUGUCGUAUUACUUUCUAUCACCCACUCUGACUCACUCCCCCCCCCCCUCGCUUCUUACUUCUUCCUCACUUACUCAUCAUCUCCCCAGACUCUCUACAAUGGGUCCUGCAGGAACAUAUAUCAGCAACUGGCAGAUAGAUAAAGUGCACACACGAGCAUGUCUGUGGGUGUGACUGUGUUGCUGGCAUGUGUUUUCACAGCAGCCUGGAGCUACAGCCAGAAUUGCCUGCUUUUUGCUGGGCUGGUGUCUGUCUAUUGUGUGUCUGUGGGGUGUGUGUGUGUACAUACAUGUGUCCAUGUCAAGAUCUGGCUGGGGCUAAGGACUGGAAUACUGGGAUCUGUCUUCUGAAGGAUUUCAGUGACUUCAGGGAAUGGCCUCAGCUCAGUGUUCUGAUACACAUCCCUGAGACUGGGUCAGAACAUAGCUGGGAAGAGAUGGGGUCCCAGGGUGUGUGUACCCCAGCUCCUUGGGGCCAGAAGGCCAGUGAUCCCUGCCACUAUUUUAUAUUCUUUUUAUAAGGGUUUUUGUUGUUGUUAGCUCUAAGACUAUCUUUCUCAAAGUUCCUCUCACUGUGAACUUAUGGUGGGUAGUGUCCAGUAACUGUCUGUUCCUACAUCCUUCUGUGUGGUAGAUGCUGACAAUUAUAUUCUUUCUUUCUCUUUGUCUCCCUUGUUCUCGUGCUCUCUCAUUGUGCUUGACCCCCUGACUCUGUUUGUCUACCCAUCUGUAUUCCCAUUUCUUCCAAUCCUCCUCCACGUCUCCCUCUCUCAUGUCUAUUUCUAAUUACCACCUCUCACCUAUCUGUCUGUCAUCUAUCAUCUUCUGCUGACCUGCCAUCUCUGGAUCUAUCAUCUAUCUAUUCCUCUGUCCCUCUAUGUCUUUAACUAACAUCUGCCUACCUGCCUGUCUCUUUGUGAGACUCUCUCACUCUCCUCUCCCCCUCUGACUUUUUAUGUCUCUCUGUUUUUCCUUUCUCCUGCGGCUUCGUCAUCUCUCCUAGCCAUUCGGGACUCCUCCUGAACAGAGCCAGGUUCUCACAUCCAGGGUGUGGGAACCUCGCUAGACACGGUGUAGGGGCAGUGCCAGGUUGAAUCUUUGUUUGAGCCUGGCCACUGAGAAGGUCCCUGGUGGUGGGAACCUGGGCACCACCCACCCAUCAGGGCAGGGAAAGCUGUGUCUGACGCUAUUGCCGGGAGCCUCUGAUGCUUAGUGUCUGGCUGUGUCAGGAUGAUGGAUCCAUUGAUGGAGUCAAGCCCAGAGCAGGGGAUAUGAGGAGUUCCUGUGGCUAGAAAGGGAUAACCCAAGCUCCACCCAAGGAGCUGGGCAUUUGACUAGCCUGAACACCGCCCUGACUGGGUGGAGCAGCUGUAUAAAACCAGAUGUUUCUAAAACCAGAGUGUGCAUGAGAGAAAGACCAGGAUUUCAAACCCUGGGAGUUUUCUCUGCCAGGACACUAGAGACCUGGCCACAGCCCAGACUCCUCCUUUAGACCCAGGUGUCCAGGCCUCAGUCCCUUGUUAGAUCCAGGGGUACGGACCCUAGCUCCCCUUCCUUGGACCCCAGACCCCAGACCCCAGCCUUCCUCCGUUAGACCCAGGUGUCCAAGCCAAAGCACUUCCCCCUCAGACCCAGAAGUCCAGUGUACUCUCCUUUAGACUCAGGAGUCUGGAAAUCAGCUUUCCUCUCUCAGAAAAGGAGUACAGGCCUAACCCUCGUCCCUCAGACACAGAGGUCUAGUUUCCCAUAAUUCAGUGCAAGCACAGAUGAUCAGGACAGAAUGUAUCAAAGACAAGAUGACAAAGACAGAUGAAGCUGAGCACUCUUUCCCAGUUCCCUCCCCUCUAAUGGUAGCUUAUAACUGGUUCCUGCCUAGUCCACAGUGUCCUUUCUUCUCCAGAUGGGGGCUGUCAUUUAACUUCAAGAUGAGAAGACGGGGAAAGGUAGGGGUGGUAGUCAUAAAUGGAGAAGAAACAGAGGAAAAACAUAUAUUCAUUACAGGGACACCUCUUGAGCUGCUGAUGGGUGGGACCCUAGACUAAGUGAUGGCAGGCACACACAAAUGACUCAGCAGGGGGCCCUGUCUCUGAGAAGACAGCUGUGUAAAUAGAGGACUGGGCACUGAUGGAGUAAUAGUUCCACCCAACUGAAAGGCAGGAAGGGCUUCCUGGAGAAGGUGGUCCUAACUGAUGAGGACAUAGUGGAGUGGAAAGUAAAGGAGAGAAAAGGUACCCAAGGAAAGACAUGGUGUGGCCAGUUUACAAAUCACACGCUGACUGAGUGGUGCUGUGGAAGCACGAAGUAGUUGAGAAGUAAUGAGGUACAUGAAGGUAAGAUUGCUCUAAAAAUAGUUUUGGGGGAUGGACAGAUGACUCAGUAGUUAAGAGUGCUUGAUGCUCUUGCAGAGGACCUGGGUUGGGGCCCCAGGACUCAGGUCCGGUGGCUUACAACCACCUGUAACUCCAGCUCUAGCGUAUCUGGUGGCUUCUUCUGGCCUCUGUGGACACCUGUACACAUGCAACAUACACAUAAAAAUAAAAUAAAUCUUUUAUAAAGUGGGGGUAUGGAUGGCUGUAGAGAUGACUCAGUGGUAAGAGUACUUGAUACUUUUUUUUUUUUUGGUUUUUCGAGACAGGGUUUCUCUGUGUAGCUUUGCGCCUUUUCAUGGAACUCACUUGGUAGCCCAGGCUGGCCUCGAACUCACAGAGAUCCGCCUGGCUCUGCCUCCCGAGUGCUGGGAUUAAAGGCGUGCGCCACCACCGCCCGGCAAGUACUUGAUACUUUUGCAAAGGACCUGGGUUCAGUUUCCAGCACUCCCAUGGUAGCUCACAAUUGCCUGUGACUCCCGGUACAGUGGAUCUAUGCCCUCUUCUGAAUCUCUGUGGGCACUGCAUAUACAUGAUGCACAGCCAUAUAUGCAAGCCAAAUACUUUAUACAUAAUAAAUCUUUAAAAAUGACUUUUAGAUUGAAAUGCAAAAUUAUAUAUUCAGGAUGAGGAUGUAGCUCAGUUGCGGAGUGAUUGCAUUUAGACUGUGUGUUUGAUACAUAACACACCCUGGGCAUGGUGUUGUAUGUUUGCAAUGUCAGCACUUGGGAAGUAGAGGCAGGAAGCUCAGAAGUUCAUGGCCAUCUUAGACUACAAAGGAAAUUUGAGGCUGUCAUGGGCUAUAUCAGAGCCUGUCUCAAAAUAAACAAGUAGGGACAGAUGGGAUAAUUCAGUGCAUAAAGACAUUUGCUACUAUGUCUGAAAACCUGAGUUCAUUCUUCAGAACCCACAUGGUGGGAGGAGAGAACAGACUUCUGCAACUUGUCCUCUGACCUCCAUGUGCAAAUCAUGGCAUUCAGCUCCUAAAAUAAAUGUAAUAAAACUUUGAAAAAGGUUUAAAUUGUAUAUUAGUAAAGUCAAGGAUACGACAUCAUUUCUUUAUGACAAAAUCAAGCUAUUAUAGCAUGUGCAAUAUACAGAGUUUUGAAUGCCAGACUCAAGGGCUAACUAACUAGAGAACUACAAGAGAACUGGGAGCUGUGGAGAUAAAGGAUCAGCUCUAGGUCUAUGUGAUCUACUAAGUAGGUAGAGAGACAAGGGAUUCUUGGUCAGGUAACUCAGUGGGUGGCUAUGUCAGAGAUUCCAGAAUUUCCUUCAGGCUAGGGGUUGUUGGCUGAACAUGAGCUUUGAAAGAGUUGAAGGUUUGGAACUGGUGGGACACCAAGGAAGUGUGAGUGAGUAUGGCAGAGCUGCUGGAUAUAAUCCUUUGAGGAGUGGGGACUGAGAGGUGGCUCAGACACAGCCUCAAAUGAAUGGAACCCUUCAUCAAAGCUCAUCCAUGCUACUCUGGCUGCCCCACUCCCUGCCCAUUUUGUCAAACACUGUUCUCAAAUAACAUAGGCCCCCCCCCUUAUCUGGUUUCUCUUUAUGAGGUUGCAGUUAGCUUCAUCAAUCAAAGUCCAAAAAUACCAAAUGGAAAAAUCCUGGGAAUAAACAAUUUGUAAUUUUAAAAACCUAUUUUUAUUUUAUUAUUUUGUAUGCAUAGGUGACUUGACUGUCUGCCUGUCUAGGAAUCAAAUCCAGGUCCUCUGUGAGAGCACCCAGUGUUCUUAACCACUGAGCCAUCUCUCCAGGCCAACAAGCCACACAAGAAAACAAUAAUUUUUUUAAAUUAUAAAAUAAUAGCAUCAUUCUGGCCUCCCUCUCCUCCCUCUAAUGUUGCCAUAGUCCACCUCAAAUUCAUGACCUCUUUUUCUUUAAUUAUCAUUGUUAAAUAUGUGUAUAAUGAAUUUAUGUUUAUAAUAUAUUAUAAAUAUAUAUUUUAAUAAAUAUAAUAAGUAUUAUAUAUCAUAUAACUAUAUAAUGAGCAUAAUAUAUUAUACUAUAUUAUAACAUAAUAUAAGAAAAAUAUAUAUAUAUAAAACCUGCUGGGUUCAAUUGUGUGUUAUUCCUAAGCAGCACAAUGAAAUCUAAUGCUCUCCUGUUUGUCUUGUCCUGGAUGUGAAUCUUCCUUUGGCCCAGGAUAUGCAUGCUGCAUAUGUGACCAGCCCCUUAGUAACUUAGUCAUUUAUUUAUAGGAUUCAGUAUUGCCAUAUAUUGUAUUUGAAUUCCAAUGUUCUUAUUUUACUUAAAAGUUCACCUUUGACCAUUUCUCUUUUUGGCUAAGAUCACACAACAACGGCAACUCGGGUGUACUAAAAAGAAAUCAUUCAGUGCAAGGUUCUUAGUUUGUGUGUAGAACUGGGUGCUAUGUAUAGUUUCAGGCAUUCAAUAAGGGUCUUGAAAAAUAUGAUCCUUGAGGCUGGGCGGUGGUGGCGCACGCCUUUAAUCUCAGCCAGACAGUUCUCUGUGAGUUUGAGGCCAGCCUGGGCUACAGAGUGAGUUCCAGGGAAGUUGCAAAGGUACACAGAGAAACCCUGUCUCAAAAAACAAAAAAAGGGGCUGGAGAGAUGGCUCAGCGGUUAAGAGCACUGACUGUUCUUCCAGAGGUCCUGAGUUCAAUCCCAGCAACCACAUGGUGGCUCACAACCAUCUGUAAUGAGAUCUGGCGCCCUCUUCUGACCUGCAGGCAGACAUGCAGACAGAAUGCUGUCUACAUAAUAAAUAAAUAAAAAAAAAGAAAAAAAAAAGAAAAAUAUGGUCCUUGAAUAACUGAGGGGGGGAUUUUGUUGGUGUUUUGAGGGAGGGUCUCUCAUGAAUGAAAAAAAAGAAAUAAGAAAGGAACAUGACUACCCCUAGGUAUGGUGGAGGAGAAAGUCUGUUGUGGAUAAAAGGGAAACAGACAUAGUCAGAGGCAAGGACAUCUGGGAGAGUCCAGAGUGGAUAUGACCCUGAGCCACGUAAGGAGAGAGGGGAGGGGAAGGGAGAAGGGGGAGAAAGAGGAACAAGGUGUAGCAAAAGAGAGGCCCAAAAGAGAGUAGACAAAAUGACCAGGUAACCAAAACAGAUUAUAUAGAGAAGGGCAGCUGGGGGAAGGGCAGACCAGCCUCUGGGCUGCAAAGUUUAGUGGGGGGGAGGAGGGGUAUGCCAGCCAGGAGGGUCCUGCAACAGGUAGGUGCUGAGGGAAGCUGGGAGAACCUGGCAGCCAGGUCUGCUUUGAUAUGUUAAGUAGGCACCUCAGCCCAUUGUCCUGGGUUUAAACCUAACAUCUCUGAACCCAGGUUAGGUUCUAACUUUCUGUAUAGCUGAGAAUGACAUUGAGUUACGGAUCCUCAUGCCUGCACUUCUCAAGUGCUAGGACUGCAGACAUAUGAUACCAUGACUGACUUGUGCAGUGCAGGGGAGGGAAUCCAGAGUUUUGUGCGUGCUAAGCAAGCACCCCAACUGAACUACAGCCCCAGGUUACUGUAAGAGAUGUUUGAACUUCCUUCCUGGAGAAUUAAGGAGGGUAAAUGACCACUGAAAAGUUAACUUGGAGAAAUCGGCAUUUUCUUAAAUGUGUCUGUUGAGCUAGGUGGUGGUUGCUCACUCUAUGAAGUGUUCUGGCUUGGAAAGGAAAUACUUUGAAGAAAUCCAGAUACUUGAGAGACAAAGGAGAGAUGGAGGGCAGAAUCACUCCCAGGACCAUGUGUUUGUACAGUUGGUAACCAGCUAGUGGCGCUGUUUUAAAGGUUGAGGAGCUGUCAUGGAGUGUGAUAGUUUGGGGGCGGGGAGGGGAUAUCUCUCAGUUCUUGACAACUGCUCAGUCAAGUGACAUAGUUAGAGCAAAGGUUUAUUUUGCAAAGCUAAACAAAGCAGCAAAUAAACAAACUAUAGAGGGAGACUGAACUGGACUACCUGAAGGAGGAGGAGUAGUUCAGAGGGUCCUAUGUUGCAGAUUUUAAAGAAAUUGUAAGGAAUAUUUAUGAGGUGUGUGACAUAUUCAUGGAAUUAAGUAACCCUUUUCUCUUUCUCGAAUUGUGGUGGACUGUGUUUCCUUUUUAAGGUAUUUCAUUCCAUGAUCCUCUAGAACAGUCCAAAAAAAAAAAAAAAAAAAAAAAAAGCAAAGAAACAAACCAAUAACAUCCAGCAUUCUAGUGAUAUAUAUCACAUCAGGUAAUUUAAGUGUGUUUUGAGUGUGUAGACCCUUGGAUACUGUACACGUGUUAGAGAAUUUCUAGGUGACUUAGUUUCUGAUAUAACAGAACAAUCUAGCUGCUUCCAGGAUGUUUAACCACAAAGAAGUUCUGACCACAGGGAGACAUACCUUUUCCCCCAGUUAACCUCACAUCCUAGUUUGCUUAGCGUGUCAACUUUACGCAGCCUACAGGUAUUUGAGAGGGGAGCUUCUAGGUCAUAUUAGCCUGUGGCCAUGUCUGACAGGCUCUUGACUGAUGAUGUAGGAGGGCCCAGCCACGUCAAGGCGCGUGACCCCAGGCUGUAGACUACAGCUUCAAGCAGCAUUCUCUCAUGGUUUCUUCCUUAUGCUCCUACUUGAGUUCUGUUAAUGAUCAAUGGUGACUUGAAAUUAUAAGCCAAAUGAAUCCUUUCCUCUCCCAUAUUGCUUCUGAUCAGUGUUUUACCACACAAAAGAAACCAGGACACCUCAUAUUGAACUCCUUGUCUACUCAGAAUUAGCAGACAGUGGGUAGGUGAAGGGCUUUGAGUGUUAGAAGCCAGGUCUCUCUUUCUGAUCCACCCUCUACUGAUCCACCAAAAUGUGAACAAACCAUCUCUUGAGCUCCUGCUGUCAUGGGUUGAGUCAUUCAACUCUCACACUUUUUUCACCAUUAUGGACCAUAGACCCUGAUUCUCUGUUUUCCCUUUCCCCCCACAGCAUUGAUCAGCUUUCUAUAUAAUGUAUAGACUCAAUUGCUGAGCAUCUUCUUUGGUGUCAUGAGGGCCUCUCUUGUUAGAAUGUAAGCUCUCCAUAGACAGUGGUCCUUAUCCAUUCUACACAUAUGUCUGCUCUUAGAGCCUAGGCCAGUUCCUGGGAUCAACAGGUGUUGAAUGAUUGAGUUUAGUCAGGAUGAAAAGUAAGAAUGGGGGAGAGGGGAAACAAAAGAGGAAGGGUAAAGUUUGUGCCUCUCUAAACUUCUAACCCUUAAGUAAUCAUUCUGUCUCCCUCUCUUCCUUCAAUCCUUCCUUCCAUCCUCUUUCUCUCUCUUCACUUUCUUUUUUUCUCUCUGCCCACCGCCCCUUCCCAUCUGACAUUGUCUCUCUGUGCAGCCCAGACUAGCCUUGAACUCACCCUGUAGCCCAGUUUACUCUCCAGCUUGCCUCUUCAUGUGGCCUAGGAAGUGCUAGAUUAAGGAAAUAAAGGGUGUGUGGGUUUCCCUAAUGCCUGCCCUUUCUGACUUGUGUUUGUCUAUUGAUCUGCCGCUGUCUUUAUUCUCAUACAUAUUCUCUCUCUCCUCUUUCUCUCUCCUCUCUCUCUCUCUCUCUCUCUCUCUCUCUCUCUCUCUCUCUCUCUCUCUCUCUCUCUCUCCCCCCAUGCCCCAACCCCCCACCGCUUCCCUCUGCUCUCUCUUGUCUUUCAUUGGCCUGCUGCACCACCUCUCCUGGGCUGUACUCCUUGUACUCCUGUAGCAGAGUCAAUUCCUCACACACUGGGAUUUCCCUGGGAGGCAGAAGAGAAGGGAGAGACAGGAUGGGGGAGGAGGGAUGACAGCAGAGAGGAAGGAAGGGGGAAAGGGACAGGAGGAGGAGGGGGCCCAGCAGCUGGGAGGCCCACACUCCACAGCUCUGUGGCUACCACUCAGUUGGGCAGGGUGUGUUACUCCCUUCUGGAGAAGUGGGACCUGAGGCAAGGAGUCCCCUGAUGGGCACAGAUCCCGGACAUGCAAGCAGUCUGACUUCCAGGAACGGGGGAGGGCUUAGAUCCUUAGGCUGCCAAUGGGGCCUCACUGAGCCAUUCCUCCCCCACACUCAAGAUUCCAGGAAACACCUAGACCUUCAGGAAAGAGUCCUAGGAAAAAACCCAAUGGAGGGAGUUUGGCUGCUUGCCUCUGGAAGGUAGCUGGCCCAGACAGAGGCUCCUGUGCCUAGACAUUCAUUCUCUAGGAAUUUUCGGAGGAAAGAGAACAGACAAGGGAAAGAAAGAGAACAGGGAAUUUCAUCAGACCUCUCUGUUUCUGCUCAGACAAGCAAGAGAGGAGGGAUCUUGGUUGCCAUAGAAAAGAACAACGAAGGCCCAGGAAAACUAGUAACCCAGCCAGACAGGAUGUGGGCUAGUUGGGCCAGGUGACCAAGCAGGUGUUGCGAAUUAGGUCUUUUUCUAUGUAGGAGACUGAGCCUGUACCUCUGUGUGUGAGGGAAGAAGGGACAAGGUCUGGACCCAUGACCUCAGGGAGGAGGCUGGGACCUGGACACUUGAGUCUGAGGGAGGAGAGAUGGGGCCUGGAUCUCUGGGUGUGAGGGAGGAGGACUAGAACUUGGACCUCCGUGUCUGUGGGAGGAGGGUUAGGGUCUGGACUUCUGGCCUGAAGGAAGAGGGCCUUGAUAUUGGAAAGAAAAGAAACCCUGGUUCCUUUUGAAAUUAUUUUUACUCUUUGCUUGUAAAAUUUUGUAUAUAUACUGGGGAUUUGUGCAUGCUUGCCAGGGCGCACAGGUGAAGGUCAGAGGAUGGUCUGCAGUAGCUAAUUCUCUGCUUUCACCACAUUGGCCCCAGGCAUCCUACUAGGGGAGUUACCAUUCCCUGGGCAUGUGAUUCUAGGCUGUACAAGAAAGCUAGCUGAACAUGAACCUGCCUGCUAGCAGCAUCCUUGUGGUUCCUGUCACACUAUAGUGGUCAAGUGAGCUUCUUAGUUGUAGGUAAUGCUGUGUGGUUAAGGUUGUAGCAUGCUUGCCUUCAAGUUCUUACCAUGAAUUCCCUAAGUGAUAGCCUGUGACCUGAAUUUGUAAGCCAAACAUACCCUUUUUCCCCUCAAAAUAGUUUUUGUCUGGGUGUCUUUCACAGCAACAGAAAUGAAAUUAGACUUAUUGUCUGUCUGCAGGGCUCCCUCUUCCCAAUGGACCAUUACCUUGUUGCUUAGGAUUCCCACAAACCCUGGUUGUAUCAUAGUUGCUUGCAUUUGUUAUUUGAAAGGCUCAUUCCCCAGAACCUCUCUUUCAUCAUCUAUAAAAUGAGAUUAUUUCAAGUCAUCCCUCAUGGCAUAACCCUUAAGCAAGCAAGAGUCUCCCUACAGCAACGGAGGUUAUGAAGUGAUGUUAUUUGUUUGCGGUCAUUGCUUUUGCCUUCCUGUGACCACAAUACCAGACAAAACAAACUCAAGGGAGGAAAGAUUUACUUUGGCUCACAGUUUUCAAAGGUUUCAGUCUGUCACAGUGGGGAAAGCCGGUCAGAGCAGCUCAGUUCAUGGCAGCCAAGUGGUAGAGUCUGACUGUAUUAUGGCAGACAAGGAAGGCAUGGGGGGAGCAGGGUCGGUGUAUAACCUGCAAAAUCUUGCCCUGGUGACAUAUCUCCACUUGCUAGGGCUACAUAAGCUAUUUUCUGUGGCUGUGAUGAAAUACUCUGAAAAAGCAAUUUAAUGAAGGAAAGUUUUUUUUUUUUUUAUCUUGGUUCAUAGUUGCAAAGUACCAUCCAUCAUGGAGGGAACUCACAGUAGCACGAGCUUGAAGCAGCUAGUCACAUUGCAAUACAGUAGGGAGGCAGAGGGUGAUGAAUGCUGUUCAAUUGUGUAGCUCACAAUAGCAAGAUCUUCCCACCUCAGUUGACCUAGCCCCUACAGGCAUGGCCAGAGGCUGACCUAAUCUGAAUAAUCUCUCACAGGAAUGUGUGGAGGUUUAUCUCUUAAGUAAUACAUAUUCUUUGAAGUUGGCAGUCAACACUAUCACAUGCCUGUGGUGGUAUCAUGUUCCCCAAAAUAUUGUGUACCCUAAUAAACUUAUCUGGGGUCAGAGACAGAAUAGCCACUAGAUACAAAGGCUAGAAAAUGGUGGCACUCACACCUUUAAUCCUAGCAUUCCAGAGGUAGAAAUCCCUCUGGAUCUCUGUGAGUUCAAGGCCACAUUGGAAACAGCCAGGCAUGGUGACUCACGCCUUUAAUCCCAAGAAGUGAGCCUUUAAUCCCAGGGAAUGAUGGCAAAAACAGAAAGAUAUAUAAGGUGUGAAGACCAGAAACAAGAAGCUUUUAGCUGGUUAAGCUUCAGGCUUUCGAGGAGCAGUUCAGCUGAGAGUCAUUGGGAUUGAGGACACAGAAGCUUCCAGUCUGAGGAAACAGGAUCAGCUGAGAACUGGUGAGGUGAGGUAGCUGUGGCUUGUUCUGCUUCUCUGAUCUUCCAGCAUUCACCCUAAUACCUGGCUCUGGAUUUGAUUUUAUUAAUAAGAACUUUUAAGACUCAUGCUAAAACAAGCCCCUAUCUCCUAAAUGUUGACAGCCUUCCAAAUUAGCAUCACUAUCUAGGAGACAAGUGGAGACAUUUCAUAUUGGAACUAUAGCAUUAAGCUAAACCAGCAGUCAUUGGGAGGCUGAUGAAUGUCCUGGGGUGGGAGCAGAGACAGAACUCUUUCUUCCUUUACUAAAUCAGCUCUUAUCAGAAGAGUCAUCCCAGUGGAAACUGACAAGAGCCUGGGUUCUGGGUCACACUGGAUUCCAAGACUGGUUGCCUUGGGCCAGCCACCUUCAUACCCCAACUCUUGUCUUUAUCCACCUUUGACCACAGGAUCUAGUCACUAUGUUUAUGUAUGUGGACAGCCUCAGUUCCUGGACUCAUCAUUCUCACUUCUAGAGUGUGGGGUAAGGAGGCCGUUCUUCCCAGGGCUACUAGAGGAGAUUGCUCAGUGGGAAUCUUGGAAUGUUUUAGGGACUAGCCAGAGAGUUUGCAGCAUAGACAAUGGAUCCUUAAAAGGGGUGCAUGGGAAGGACCAAGCAGAAGAUGCUAGGUCAGAGACCUAGAGGCCUCAUUUGUGGCAAUGCUUUAGUUACCCAUAGGACAGUGGUCCAAAGUCACAACAAUGACAUUUCCAUUGAGACAGAAAAAGGGAAAUAGUGUUGCCAUCAUUUCUUCUCUAUGGUUGAGAUUUGAAAAAUAACACAAAACCAUCACUUUGGAUUGCACACAGUGUCAGUGUAACAGAGUAGGUAGGGCUUUUAUUCCAGCUUCCCUUGUCUGCCUAAAGACAGACUCUACCAGAAAGGAAUACAAUUAUACACAAACUCCUCUGUUAUUUCAUCAACCAAGGAAAAUUAAACUAUCAUCAGAGAAGAGAGUGAGGGAUGAGAGCCACACUGAAGAUUAGGUAAGUGUUCUUCCUCAACACUGUCUACCCUUCAGGAAUCCUCAUGUCCUGUGAAAGUCAUUUUCUCUUCCUCUAAAUGGCCUACAGCCUUCACUUCCAUUUUGCUAUAAGGAAGGGCAUAUACAAUUCUAAAUCUUAUAGGAUACUCACUUUUCAUUCUCAGGAUGCCUCCUUGGGUAUGCCUGGAACAAAGGUGAUUGUCUUUUUUUCUGCUAAUUUGUCUACUGUUUGAUUAUUUCUGAAAUUCAAAUGUCAACUUGACCUUCGGUCUCUAAUCUAUAUCUGUCCCAGCAGAUUCCCAAUCAACUAAAGACUGCAAACUGCUCCAAACUCACCAGCCCUAGGUUCUUCUGAUGGAAUUUCCAAAAAGGUGAGCUACAUCCUAGAGGGCUCCAAAGCAGCUAGCCCCAGGUGGUCCACCAUACUGACUGCUCCAAUGUGGCCUGGACUUCCCUGGCCCCGGAUGGUUCCACAGAGCCUGGACAGCAAAUGAAACAGCCUGCAUUCCCUUCUCUCUUUCUUCCUAGCCUUGUCCAGGAUUCUAGCUUUCUUGGGUCCCCAACAAAGAUGCUUCGGUGUCAGCAGGAAGUAAAUCAUAAAAAGAUCACACCACCCCUGAUCUGUUAUUGUCAACAAGAAGGCUAGGAUGCUAGGUCCCAAACCCAGGACAAAUGGCCAACUGAGGUGCCUAUAUAACAUAUCAAAGUGAACCUGGCCUCUAGGUUCUCCCAGCAUCCCUCAGUGCCUACUUGUUACAGUGUAUGGUUGGCAUACCUGCCCCCUACCCUAGACUUCUCCAGUCCAGAAACAGGGCUACUCUUUCCUAUAUAAUCCUGCCAUUUUGGUUAUCUGACCCUUUUUGUCUACCUUUUACCCUCCUUGGUCUCCUUGCUCUCCCCUCUCCUCUUCCUCCUCUUCUCACAUGGUAUGGCUCAGGGUCGUGUUCAUUCUGGACUCUCUGAGAUGUCCCUGCCUCUGGGGGGGGAUCUGCUAUGAUCUCUCUUCUAUCUACAAUAAACCUCCUCCACCAUA
RNA transcript from Peromyscus californicus insignis, 17110 nucleotides. It is a transcript of the gene named sperm acrosome associated 6, with no coding region annotated. NCBI's taxonomy places the organism in Eukaryota, Metazoa, Chordata, Mammalia, Rodentia, Cricetidae. The transcript has 9 exons. The record is from RefSeq and is a predicted model, not a curated record.